This 498-nucleotide ribosomal RNA is filed under the name uncultured bacterium. Its description in RNAcentral is "partial 16S ribosomal RNA". It matches the Rfam family "Bacterial small subunit ribosomal RNA", at positions 30 to 523 of the family's 1533-position model. The record is from RNAcentral.
AUUGAACGCUGGCGGCAUGCCUUACACAUGCAAGUCGAACGGCAGCACGGGGCAACCUGGUGGCGAGUGGCGAACGGGUGAGUAAUGCAUCGGAACGUACCUUUCAGUGGGGGAUAACGUAGCGAAAGUUACGCUAAUACCGCAUAUUCUGUGAGCAGGAAAGCAGGGGAUCGCAAGACCUUGCGCUGAUUGAGCGGCCGAUGUCAGAUUAGCUAGUUGGUGAGAUAAAGGCUCACCAAGGCGACGACCUGUAGCGGGUCUGAGAGGAUGAUCCGCCACACUGGAACUGAGACACGGUCCAGACUCCUACGGGAGGCAGCAGUGGGGAAUUUUGGACAAUGGGGGCAACCCUGAUCCAGCCAUGCCGCGUGAGUGAAGAAGGCCUUCGGGUUGUAAAGCUCUUUCGGCCGGGAAGAAAUCGCACGGGCUAAUACCCUGUGUGGAUGACGGUACCGGAAUAAGAAGCACCGGCUAACUACGUGCCAGCAGCCGCGGUAA